Molecule: ribosomal RNA, 521 nt
Filed under: uncultured bacterium
Lineage: Bacteria
Description: partial 16S ribosomal RNA
Rfam family: Bacterial small subunit ribosomal RNA
Source: RNAcentral
GACGAACGCUGGCGGCGUGCCUAAUACAUGCAAGUCGAGCGGGCCUCCGGAGGUGCUUGCACCUCCGGAAGGCCAGCGGCGGACGGGUGAGUAACACGUGGGCAACCUGCCUUUGAGGCCGGGAUAACACCGGGAAACCGGUGCUAAUACCGGAUACGUCCUCUUUCGCGCCUGCGAGAGGGGAGAAAGACGGUCUUUAAGGCCGUCGCUCAAAGAGGGGCCCGCGGCGCAUUAGCUGGAUGGUGGGGUAAGGGCCUACCAAGGCGACGAUGCGUUGCCGACCUGAGAGGGUGAUCGGCCACACUGGGACUGAGACACGGCCCAGACUCCUGCGGGAGGCAGCAGUAGGGAAUCAUCCGCAAUGGGCGAAAGCCUGACGGUGCAACGCCGCGUGAGUGAGGAAGGUUUUCGGAUCGUAAAGCUCUGUUGUGAGGGAAGAACAGCUUCCGGAGGAAAUGCCGGAGGUUUGCCGGUACCUCACCAGAAAGCCCCGGCUAACUACGUGCCAGCCGCCGCAGUAA